AUAUACAUAUAAAACCCCUUUUCCCGUGUCACAAUCAGAGCAGAGCUUCACCGACGACUCGACAUCGAAUACCACAAAACCUGUAAAUCUGGACCCCCAACGGUCCAGCACAUAACACAUAAAAGAGAGUCAGAUAACAUACUCAAAAUAUACAAGUGUAAGUAAAUGGUACUUAAACACUUCUUCAUAAAAACAUGCAUAAUCAUACAUUAUACAUAUACAUCACCAUCAUUCAUGCAUAUUCAUAUAUCAUGCAUAUACUUCAUUUAUCACCUAAUCAAUCAUCCAAAAAAUACACCAAACAUAUAGUUUCACGUCGUCUCGGACAAUACCAAAACAUCAACAAAUACAUUGUUCAGAUUAUGGUCAUGACGGACCCUGCGUUGUUCAUUUUAUAGUCAUGACGGACUCUGCUCCUCACAUACGGAUUAACAAUCAACAUUUACCAAGUAUGUGUCACAUAUCACUUAUCACAUAAAUGUACACAUAUCCUAAUGCAUUCUAAUGCGUCAACUUCAUGCAAUGUCACCCUAGACAUAUCUAAUGCAUGUGGUACCGUUUCGUCUUUAUUAGAGUAUCUCACCUCUAAUAUUCGUCUUUAUCGGAUAAAUAUAAUCCGAUAUCCGUCUUUAUUGGAAUAUCCAAUAUAUAACAACAAAAUUCAUGAAUGCAUGUAUAUGUUUUUCAUGAAUUCACCAACAAUUAUUUAGCAUAAAGCUCGUCAUUUACUAUGUGGAACACUAUCCAACAUACGUCAUUAUUAACAUUAACAAAACCUUAAUAUUCGUCAUUUACAACAUCAUACAUGAUUAACAAUCGUUAUAAGCAUCAACA
This 834-nucleotide long non-coding RNA is filed under the name Trifolium pratense (red clover). RNAcentral's name for it is "long non-coding RNA (TPRA_LNC006227)". Lineage: Eukaryota; Viridiplantae; Streptophyta; Magnoliopsida; Fabales; Fabaceae. The record is from RNAcentral.